Molecule: ribosomal RNA, 441 nt
Filed under: uncultured bacterium
Lineage: Bacteria
Description: bacterial SSU rRNA
Rfam family: Bacterial small subunit ribosomal RNA
Source: RNAcentral
GACGAACGCUGGCGGCGUGCCUAAUACAUGCAAGUCGAACGCACUCUCGUUUAGAUUGAAGGAGCUUGCUCCUGAUUGAUAAACAUUUGAGUGAGUGGCGGACGGGUGAGUAACACGUGGGUAACCUGCCCUAAAGUGGGGGAUAACAUUUGGAAACAGAUGCUAAUACCGCAUAAAACCUAACACCGCAUGGUGUAGGGUUGAAAGAUGGUUUCGGCUAUCACUUUAGGAUGGACCCGCGGUGCAUUAGUUAGUUGGUGAGGUAAAGGCUCACCAAGACCGUGAUGCAUAGCCGACCUGAGAGGGUAAUCGGCCACACUGGGACUGAGACACGGCCCAGACUCCUACGGGAGGCAGCAGUAGGGAAUCUUCCACAAUGGACGAAAGUCUGAUGGAGCAACGCCGCGUGAGUGAAGAAGGUUUUCGGAUCGUAAAACUCUG